Molecule: ribosomal RNA, 207 nt
Filed under: uncultured bacterium
Lineage: Bacteria
Description: partial 16S ribosomal RNA
Rfam family: Bacterial small subunit ribosomal RNA
Source: RNAcentral
CGCGUAGGCGGUCUGCCAAGUCAGGGGUGAAAUCCUUCGGCUUAACCGGAGAAGUGCCUUUGAUACUGGCGGACUCGAGGGAGGUAGGGGCAGAUGGAACUGGUGGUGGAGCGGUGAAAUGUGUAGAUAUCACUAGGAACGCCGGUGGCGAAAGCGAUCUGCUGGACCUCUACUGACGCUGAGGCGCGAAAGCCAGGGGAGCAAACG